Molecule: ribosomal RNA, 265 nt
Filed under: uncultured Staphylococcus sp.
Lineage: Bacteria; Bacillati; Bacillota; Bacilli; Caryophanales; Staphylococcaceae
Description: partial 16S ribosomal RNA
Rfam family: Bacterial small subunit ribosomal RNA
Source: RNAcentral
CGGCGGACGGGUGAGUAACACGUGGAUAACCUACCUAUAAGACUGGGAUAACUUCGGGAAACCGGAGCUAAUACCGGAUAAUAUAUUGAACCGCAUGGUUCAAUGUUAAAGACGGUUUUGCUGUCACUUAUAGAUUGAUCCGCGCCGCAUUAGCUAGUUGGUAAGGUAACGGCUUACCAAGGCAACGAUGCGUAGCCGACCUGAGAGGGUGAUCGGCCACACUGGAACUGAGACACGGUCCAGACUCCUACGGGAGGCAGCAGCG